AACGAACGCUGGCGGCAUGCCUAACACAUGCAAGUCGAACGAGACCUUCGGGUCUAGUUGCGCACGGGUGCGUAACGCGUGGGAACCUUCCCUUAGGUUCGGGAUAACUCCCCGAAGGGGGUGCUAAUACCGGAUAAUUUCUUCGGACCAAAGAUUUAUCGCCUUUGGAUGGGCCCGCGUUGGAUUAGCUAGUUGGUAGGGUAAAAGCCUAUCAAGGCGACGAUCCAUAGCUGGUCUGAGAGGAUGAUCAGCCACACUGGGACUGAGACACGGCCCAGACUCCUACGGGAGGCAGCAGUGGGGAAUAUUGGAAAAUGGGCGAAAGCCUGAUCCAGCAAUGCCGGGUGAGUGAUGAAGGCCGUAGGGUUGUAAAGCUCUUUUACACGGGAUGAUAAUGACAGUACCGGGAGAAUAAGCUCCGGCUAACUCCGUG
RNAcentral lists this ribosomal RNA (433 nucleotides) under uncultured bacterium. RNAcentral's name for it is "partial 16S ribosomal RNA". It matches the Rfam family "Bacterial small subunit ribosomal RNA", at positions 29 to 507 of the family's 1533-position model. The record is from RNAcentral.